RNAcentral lists this ribosomal RNA (463 nucleotides) under Clostridioides difficile. Its description in RNAcentral is "partial 23S ribosomal RNA". It matches the Rfam family "Bacterial large subunit ribosomal RNA", at positions 738 to 1201 of the family's 2925-position model. Lineage: Bacteria; Bacillati; Bacillota; Clostridia; Peptostreptococcales; Peptostreptococcaceae. The record is from RNAcentral.
GAGCAGGAUGAAGCGAAAGUAAAAUUUCGUGGAGGUCCGAACCCACGAGCGUUGAAAAGCUCGGGGAUGACUUGUGGGUAGCGGUGAAAUUCCAAUCGAGCCCGGAGAUAGCUGGUUCUCCCCGAAAUAGCUUUAGGGCUAGCCUCAAGGUGAGAGAUACGGAGGUAGAGCACUGAAUGUCCUAGGGGGUAUUGCACCUACCGAAGACUAUUAAACUCCGAAUGCCGUCAUCUUAUACUUGGGAGUCAGACUGUGGGUGAUAAGAUUCAUAGUCGAAAGGGCAACAGCCCAGAUCGUCAGCUAAGGUCCCUAAAUGUAAGUUAAGUGGUAAAGGAUGUGGGAUUGCACAGACAACCAGGAUGUUGGCUUAGAAGCAGCCACUCAUUCAAAGAGUGCGUAAUAGCUCACUGGUCGAGUGAUCCUGCGCCGAAGAUUUCCGGGGCUAAAACUUACUACCGAAGCU